RNAcentral lists this ribosomal RNA (253 nucleotides) under uncultured bacterium. Its description in RNAcentral is "partial 16S ribosomal RNA". It matches the Rfam family "Bacterial small subunit ribosomal RNA", at positions 524 to 776 of the family's 1533-position model. The record is from RNAcentral.
UACGUAGGGUGCAAGCGUUAAUCGGAAUUACUGGGCGUAAAGCGUGCGCAGGCGGUUAUGCAAGGCAGAUGUUAAAUCCCCGGGCUUAACCUGGGAACCGCAUUUGUGACUGCAUAGCUGGAGUACGGCAGAGGGGGAUGGAAUUCCGCGUGUAGCAGUGAAAUGCGUAGAUAUGCGGAGGAACACCGAUGGCGAAGGCAGUCCCCUGGGCCUGUACUGACGCUCAUGCACGAAAGCGUGGGGAGCAAACAGG